Molecule: ribosomal RNA, 496 nt
Filed under: uncultured bacterium
Lineage: Bacteria
Description: partial 16S ribosomal RNA
Rfam family: Bacterial small subunit ribosomal RNA
Source: RNAcentral
AUGAACGCUGGCGGCGUGCCUAAUACAUGCAAGUCGAGCGAACAGACGAGGAGCUUGCUCCUCUGACGUUAGCGGCGGCCGGGUGAGUAACACGUGGAUAACCUACCUAUAAGACUGGGAUAACUUCGGGAAACCGGAGCUAAUACCGGAUAAUAUAUUGAACCGCCUGGUUCAAUAGUGAAAGACGGUUUUGCUGUCACUUAUAGAUGGAUCCGCGCCGCAUUAGCUAGUUGGUAAGGUAACGGCUUACCAAGGCAACGAUGCGUAGCCGACCUGAGAGGGUGAUCGGCCACACUGGAACUGAGACACGGUCCAGACUCCUACGGGAGGCAGCAGUAGGGAAUCUUCCGCAAUGGGCGAAAGCCUGACGGAGCAACGCCGCGUGAGUGAUGAAGGUCUUCGGAUCGUAAAACUCUGUUAUUAGGGAAGAACAAAUGUGUAAGUAACUAUGCACGUCUUGACGGUACCUAAUCAGAAAGCCACGGCUAACUACGUG